Molecule: ribosomal RNA, 216 nt
Filed under: uncultured bacterium
Lineage: Bacteria
Description: partial 16S ribosomal RNA
Rfam family: Bacterial small subunit ribosomal RNA
Source: RNAcentral
UGGGAACGUACCCUUUGGUUCGGAACAACCCAGGGAAACUUGGGCUAAUACCGGAUAAGUCCGUAAGGAGAAAGAUUUAUCGCCAAAGGAUCGGCCCGCGUCUGAUUAGCUAGUUGGUAGGGUAAUGGCCUACCAAGGCUACGAUCAGUAGCUGGUCUGAGAGGAUGAUCAGCCACAUUGGGACUGAGACACGGCCCGAACUCCUACGGGAGGCAG